Molecule: ribosomal RNA, 254 nt
Filed under: uncultured bacterium
Lineage: Bacteria
Description: partial 16S ribosomal RNA
Rfam family: Bacterial small subunit ribosomal RNA
Source: RNAcentral
UACGUAGGUGGCGAGCGUUGUCCGGAUUUACUGGGCGUAAAGAGCGCGCAGGCGGUCGUUCAAGUCGCGUGUGAAAGCCCCCCGGCUCAACUGGGGAGGGUCACGCGAUACUGAUCGACUCGAAGGCAGGAGAGGGUAGUGGAAUUCCCGGUGUAGUGGUGAAAUGCGUAGAUAUCCGGAGGAACACCGGUGGCGAAGGCGGCUUCCUGGACCGACACUGACGCUGAGGCGCGAAAGCCAGGGGAGCAAACGGG